Pseudopodoces humilis (Tibetan ground-tit) is the source of this 502-nucleotide long non-coding RNA. RefSeq lists it as uncharacterized. Lineage: Eukaryota; Metazoa; Chordata; Aves; Passeriformes; Paridae. The record is from RefSeq and is a predicted model, not a curated record.
UGAUUCCAAGACCUGCUCGAGUCGAUGGGAAGCUCCUCAGAGGGUUGGAUCAGGGCCUGAAAAGUGCAGCCAGGAGGAAAAAUGUAAAUGCAGGACCCUCCACAAGGUGCCUCAGCUCAUCCCAGUGGUUGCCACAGAGCCCUGCCAAGAAAACCUGCAGUGGGAAGCAUCCAGCAGCCCUGCUGGGGCUCAGCAAGGAAUGAGAUGCUGCUCCCAAUCCCCCUGGAUCACCAGGAAGGAGCUGAUUUCUGUCAGGUUACUCCAGUAUGUCCGUGGAGCUCCUGAUGGCUGUUCCUAGCUGGAUGCAGCUCCCAAGCCACCUCCUCUGAGGGAAUGUGGAGGUGUAGAUGCUGCUGUGGGGUUCUUGAUGAGCCUUUUGUCACUAAUGCAGGAAGGAAGGAAGAGUUACUCAGUGCUGAUCACACCAAAUUUUGCAGCAGACCUCAUUUAAAACCUCACUCCCAAGGCACUGGGAGCUGCAACCCUGGGCACGGAUCUGGAC